RNAcentral lists this transfer-messenger RNA (359 nucleotides) under bacterium. RNAcentral describes it as "GCA-002719095 sp002719095 X1 Standard tmRNA". It matches the Rfam family "transfer-messenger RNA". Rfam says of the family: Bacterial tmRNA, also known as 10Sa RNA or SsrA, is named for its dual tRNA and mRNA-like properties. Its role is to liberate the mRNA from a stalled ribosome. The record is from RNAcentral. RNAcentral also lists the same sequence under 1 other name.
GGGGGCGUUCCGGUUUCGACGAAUCUGAUAAUGUCUAUAACUGCAUGCCGAGGAUUCAUAGUUAACCUCGAAAAUCAACUAUGAAAAAAAGAUAAGUGCCGAUUACGGCUACACUGCUGCUGCUUAAUUGACAGUAGCUGUCUACUAGCGGGGGUGUUCGCCUCCUGCUAAUAAGACAUCAUUAAUGCGGACUAGUCUAUUAAAUUGCCUGGAUUAAAUAGAUAAAACCUUACAGGCUAGUUUAAAAAGGGAUGCGAUCAUUCAUAACUCUUUAAAUUAAAUCAAAUAAUGAUCUAAGCAUGUAGAUGUUGUUUAUGUUACUUUUUCGGACGCGGGUUCGAUUCCCGCCGCCUCCACAA